GAUGAACGCUGGCGGCGUGCUUAACACAUGCAAGUCGAACGGAAAGGCCCAAGCUUGCUUGGGUACUCGAGUGGCGAACGGGUGAGUAACACGUGGGUGAUCUGCCCUGCACUUCGGGAUAAGCCUGGGAAACUGGGUCUAAUACCGGAUAGGACCACUUCUUGGAUGUUGUGGUGGAAAGUUUUCUCGGUGUGGGAUGAGCUCGCGGCCUAUCAGCUUGUUGGUGGGGUAAUGGCCUACCAAGGCGUCGACGGGUAGCCGGCCUGAGAGGGUGUACGGCCACAUUGGGACUGAGAUACGGCCCAGACUCCUACGGGAGGCAGCAGUGGGGAAUAUUGCACAAUGGGCGCAAGCCUGAUGCAGCGACGCCGCGUGGGGGAUGACGGCCUUCGGGUUGUAAACUCCUUUCGCUAGGGACGAAGCGUUUUUUGUGACGGUACCUGGAGAAGAAGCACCGGCUAACUACGUG
This 469-nucleotide ribosomal RNA is filed under the name uncultured bacterium. RNAcentral's name for it is "partial 16S ribosomal RNA". It matches the Rfam family "Bacterial small subunit ribosomal RNA", at positions 28 to 507 of the family's 1533-position model. The record is from RNAcentral.